This 468-nucleotide ribosomal RNA is filed under the name uncultured bacterium. RNAcentral's name for it is "partial 16S ribosomal RNA". It matches the Rfam family "Bacterial small subunit ribosomal RNA", at positions 28 to 507 of the family's 1533-position model. The record is from RNAcentral.
GACGAACGCUGGCGGCGUGCUUAACACAUGCAAGUCGAACGGAAAGGCCCUGCUUUUGUGAGGUGCUCGAGUGGCGAACGGGUGAGUAACACGUGAGUAACCUGCCCUUGACUUUGGGAUAACUUCAGGAAACUGGGGCUAAUACCGGAUAGGAGCUCCUGCUGCAUGGUGGGGGUUGGAAAGUUUCGGCGGUUGGGGAUGGACUCGCGGCUUAUCAGCUUGUUGGUGGGGUAGUGGCUUACCAAGGCUUUGACGGGUAGCCGGCCUGAGAGGGUGAUCGGCCACAUUGGGACUGAGAUACGGCCCAGACUCCUACGGGAGGCAGCAGUGGGGAAUAUUGCACAAUGGGCGGAAGCCUGAUGCAGCAACGCCGCGUGCGGGAUGACGGCCUUCGGGUUGUAAACCGCUUUCGCCUGUGACGAAGCGUGAGUGACGGUAAUGGGUAAAGAAGCACCGGCUAACUACGUG